Molecule: unclassified non-coding RNA, 202 nt
Filed under: Hevea brasiliensis (rubber tree)
Lineage: Eukaryota; Viridiplantae; Streptophyta; Magnoliopsida; Malpighiales; Euphorbiaceae
Source: RNAcentral
UUGAAAAUGAAAGACGCUGAUAGUUGUUACACUAAACUAGGACCAAGGCACAGGCUCUAACACCAGCAAUAAAUUCUUAAGUGUUUUUCAGACCAUGGUGAUUCAUGGUCUUAGGUUGAUUUUGUGUAGAUGCGGAUGCCAAAAGCCAAACCCAAUAUAGCAAGGGGAACCAAGAAUUGCAGGAGCUUGAUAAUGAACUCAG